AUCAAUGGCAAUGAUCAAAGUCUCAGUUGAGUUACAAAAUAAAUUUUAUUAAGAUUAGUGCAAUUGCCGGACCCACAGAAUUCUCCUCGUUCUGAUAGGCCAAGGGAUUUGGCAUUAUCUGGAGGGAGGAGGAAAAGACCUCCGCAUUCAGAGCCGUGUUCAGAUCAAUUGCCUUGCUGUGGAUCACAAAGGAGCGUCCAACGAUUCCAUUAAUGCCAAACAAUUGGAGAUAAGGAGUUACAAAAAAUCCUUACGAAAUUAUUGGGAAACUGCCCGCCCGUGGACUUGCAACCAUCGCUCAGGUCUCCGAAGGUGUGGAUAUGCAGAGCAUGCUUACCAGGUGGUAAUCC
Long non-coding RNA from Drosophila gunungcola (fruit fly), 350 nucleotides. RefSeq lists it as uncharacterized. Lineage: Eukaryota; Metazoa; Arthropoda; Insecta; Diptera; Drosophilidae. The transcript is spliced from 3 exons. The record is from RefSeq and is a predicted model, not a curated record.